This 777-nucleotide long non-coding RNA is filed under the name Homo sapiens (human). RNAcentral describes it as "non-protein coding lnc-AHI1-7:1". Lineage: Eukaryota; Metazoa; Chordata; Mammalia; Primates; Hominidae. The record is from RNAcentral.
AGGUCCCACAACACAUGAGUGCUUGGCAGAGCCAAGGAACAGGAAGGGAAAUAGAGUGGCUGGAAGAGAAUGAGCAAAGGGAAGAAAUAAGUUUCAGAAGGUAUGUCUGGGACAAGAUCAGGACAUGUCUUACAGGCCAUGCACACGACUUAGAUUUUAUUCCAAGGUGAAAACCUACCUAUCAGAGUGUUUUGAACUGAGGAAUGUCUAUGAUUCGACACGAAUUCUGAAGAGAUUUCUCUCUUUUCUCUGUGGAAGAUAGACUCCUAGGGAGCAAGAGUAGAAGCAGAGAGACCAAUAAAUGAGGCCACUGUGCUAACCUAAGUGAGAGCACAUCAUGGCUCGGACUUGGGUGAGAGCAGUGGAGAAGGUGGGAGGGCCAGAUUUUGGAAGGGGGCCUGUGUAUUUGCAGAGAGCGUUGGCAGUAUUUGAAGAUGAGAGGUGUGAGAAAAAGAGAGGAAUCAAGAGUAAUUUCCAGGUUCCUGGCUUGGGCAAACUGGACUAGAGUUGCCAUUUACUGACAUGGGGAAGACUGGGAGAAGAGCCUGGUUUUGAGGUGAAAUAAAUAACAGUUCUGGACCUUCACUGAACAGCAACAGAUAUUUGGAGGUCAAGGUAGAAGAGAGUCUAAUAAACGAUAUAUUGCAAUAAACAAGCCAGACAUCCUAGUGGUGUCUACCACGAUGCUUUGGUGGAGGUGGCUAGAAGUGGUUUACUUCCAAUUAUAUGUUGGUGUUAAGGACAAUAAGACUUGUUAAAUGGAUUGGGUGCUAAGUA